AACGCUAGCUACAGGCUUAACACAUGCAAGUCGAGGGGUAACAAGAGAAAAGCUUGCUUUUCUUGUUGACGACCGGCGCACGGGUGAGUAACGCGUAUCCAACCUGCCUAUAACUAGGGAAUAACCUUGCGAAAGUAAGACUAAUACCCUAUGAUUUCCUUUGAUGACAUCAGAUUAGGAAUAAAGAUUUAUCGGUUAUAGAUGGGGAUGCGUCUGAUUAGCUUGUUGGCGGGGUAACGGCCCACCAAGGCAACGAUCAGUAGGGGUUCUGAGAGGAAGGUCCCCCACAUUGGAACUGAGACACGGUCCAAACUCCUACGGGAGGCAGCAGUGAGGAAUAUUGGUCAAUGGACGAGAGUCUGAACCAGCCAAGUAGCGUGCAGGACGACGGCCCUAUGGGUUGUAAACUGCUUUUAUAAGGGAAUAAAGUGAGCCUCGUGAGGCUUUUUGCAUGUACCUUAUGAAUAAGGACCGGCUAAUUCCGUGCCAGCAGCCGCGGUAAUACGGAAGGUCCGGGCGUUAUCCGGAUUUAUUGGGUUUAAAGGGAGCGUAGGCCGGAGAUUAAGCGUGUUGUGAAAUGUAGACGCUCAACGUCUGCACUGCAGCGCGAACUGGUUUCCUUGAGUACGCACAAAGUGGGCGGAAUUCGUGGUGUAGCGGUGAAAUGCUUAGAUAUCACGAAGAACUCCGAUUG
This 694-nucleotide ribosomal RNA is filed under the name uncultured bacterium. RNAcentral's name for it is "bacterial SSU rRNA". It matches the Rfam family "Bacterial small subunit ribosomal RNA", at positions 32 to 715 of the family's 1533-position model. The record is from RNAcentral.